This 420-nucleotide ribosomal RNA is filed under the name bacterium. RNAcentral describes it as "partial 16S ribosomal RNA". It matches the Rfam family "Bacterial small subunit ribosomal RNA", at positions 355 to 776 of the family's 1533-position model. The record is from RNAcentral.
UGGGGGAUAUUGCACAAUGGGCGAAAGCCUGAUGCAGCGACGCCGCGUGGGGGAUGAAGGCUUUCGGGUUGUAAACCUCUUUCGCUAUCGAACAAGGCCCGCUUAGGGUGGGUUGAGGGUAGGUGGAGAAGAAGCGCCGGCUAACUACGUGCCAGCAGCCGCGGUAAUACGUAGGGCGCGAGCGUUGUCCGGAAUUAUUGGGCGUAAAGGGCUUGUAGGCGGCUUGUUGCGCCUGCUGUGAAAACGCGGGGCUUAACUUCGCGCGUGCAGUGGGUACGGGCAGGCUUGAGUGUGGUAGGGGUGACUAGAAUUCCAGGUGUAGCGGUGGAAUGCGCAGAUAUCUGGAGGAACACCGAUGGCGAAGGCAGGUCACUGGGCCAUUACUGACGCUGAGGAGCGAAAGCAUGGGUAGCGAACAGG